GAUGAAGAACGUAGCGAAAUGCGAUAAGUAAUGUGAAUUGCAGAAUUCAGUGAAUCAUCGAAUCUUUGAACGCACAUUGCGCCCGUCAGUAUUCUGGCGGGCAUGCCUGUUCGAGCGUCAUUACGCCCCUCAAGUCCCCUGUGGACUUGGUGUUGGGGAUCGGCGAGGCUGGUUUUCCAGCACAGCCGUCCCUUAAAUUAAUUGGCGGUCUCGCCGUGGCCCUCCUCUGCGCAGUAGUAAAACACUCGCAACAGGAGCCCGGCGCGGUCCACUGCCGUAAAACCCCCCAACUUUUUAUAGUUGACCUCUAAUCAGGUAGGACUACCCGCUGAACUUAAGCAUAUCAAUAAGCGGAGGA
RNAcentral lists this unclassified non-coding RNA (358 nucleotides) under soil metagenome. Its description in RNAcentral is "partial contains 5.8S ribosomal RNA, internal transcribed spacer 2, and large subunit ribosomal RNA". The stretch from base 1 to 120 matches the Rfam family "5.8S ribosomal RNA", at positions 35 to 154 of the family's 154-position model. The record is from RNAcentral.